RNAcentral lists this ribosomal RNA (890 nucleotides) under Halomonas nitritophilus. Its description in RNAcentral is "bacterial SSU rRNA". It matches the Rfam family "Bacterial small subunit ribosomal RNA", at positions 46 to 928 of the family's 1533-position model. Lineage: Bacteria; Pseudomonadati; Pseudomonadota; Gammaproteobacteria; Oceanospirillales; Halomonadaceae. The record is from RNAcentral.
GCAGCUACCAUGCAGUCGAGCGGCAGCACGGGAAGCUUGCUUCCUGGUGGCGAGCGGCGGACGGGUGAGUAAUGCAUAGAAAUCUGCCCGGUAGUGGGGGAUAACCUGGGGAAACCCAGGCUAAUACCGCAUACGUCCUACGGGAGAAAGCAGGGGAUCUUCGGACCUUGCGCUAUCGGAUGAGUCUAUGUCGGAUUAGCUUGUUGGUGAGGUAAUGGCUCACCAAGGCGACGAUCCGUAGCUGGUCUGAGAGGAUGAUCAGCCACAUCGGGACUGAGACACGGCCCGAACUCCUACGGGAGGCAGCAGUGGGGAAUAUUGGACAAUGGGCGAAAGCCUGAUCCAGCCAUGCCGCGUGUGUGAAGAAGGCCUUCGGGUUGUAAAGCACUUUCAGUGGGGAAGAAAGCCUUGGGGCUAAUACCCUCGAGGAAGGACAUCACCCACAGAAGAAGCACCGGCUAACUCCGUGCCAGCAGCCGCGGUAAUACGGAGGGUGCGAGCGUUAAUCGGAAUUACUGGGCGUAAAGCGCGCGUAGGCGGUCUGAUAAGCCGGUUGUGAAAGCCCCGGGCUCAACCUGGGAACGGCAUCCGGAACUGUCAGGCUAGAGUGCAGGAGAGGAAGGUAGAAUUCCCGGUGUAGCGGUGAAAUGCGUAGAGAUCGGGAGGAAUACCAGUGGCGAAGGCGGCCUUCUGGACUGACACUGACGCUGAGGUGCGAAAGCGUGGGUAGCAAACAGGAUUAGAUACCCUGGUAGUCCACGCCGUAAACGAUGUCGACUAGCCGUUGGGGUCCUUGAGACCUUUGUGGCGCAGUUAACGCGAUAAGUCGACCGCCUGGGGAGUACGGCCGCAAGGUUAAAACUCAAAUGAAUUGACGGGGGCCCGCACAA